RNAcentral lists this ribosomal RNA (497 nucleotides) under uncultured bacterium. RNAcentral's name for it is "partial 16S ribosomal RNA". It matches the Rfam family "Bacterial small subunit ribosomal RNA", at positions 28 to 507 of the family's 1533-position model. The record is from RNAcentral.
GACGAACGCUGGCGGCGUGCCUAAUACAUGCAAGUAGAACGCUGAAGAGAGGAGCUUGCUCUUCUUGGAUGAGUUGCGAACGGGUGAGUAACGCGUAGGUAACCUGCCUUGUAGCGGGGGAUAACUAUUGGAAACGAUAGCUAAUACCGCAUAACAAUGGAUGACACAUGUCAUUUAUUUGAAAGGGGCAAUUGCUCCACUACAAGAUGGACCUGCGUUGUAUUAGCUAGUAGGUGAGGUAAUGGCUCACCUAGGCGACGAUACAUAGCCGACCUGAGAGGGUGAGCGGCCACACUGGGACGGAGACACGGCCCAGACUCCUACGGGAGGCAGCAGUAGGGAAUCUUCGGCAAUGGGGGCAACCCUGACCGAGCAACGCCGCGUGAGUGAAGAAGGUUGUCGGAUCGUAAAGCUCUGUUGUAAGUCAAGAACGGGUGUGAGAGUGGAAAGUUCACACUGUGACGGUAGCUUACCAGAAAGGGACGGCUAACUACGUG